This 253-nucleotide ribosomal RNA is filed under the name uncultured bacterium. RNAcentral's name for it is "partial 16S ribosomal RNA". It matches the Rfam family "Bacterial small subunit ribosomal RNA", at positions 524 to 776 of the family's 1533-position model. The record is from RNAcentral.
UACAGAGGUCUCUAGCGUUGUUCGGAUUCAUUGGGCGUAAAGGGUGUGUAGGUGGCGCCGUAAGUCGGGUGUGAAAUUUCGGAGCUUAACUCCGAAACUGCAUUCGAUACUGCGGUGCUUGAGGACUGGAGAGGAGACUGGAAUUCAUGGUGUAGCAGUGAAAUGCGUAGAGAUCAUGAGGAAGACCAGUGGCGAAGGCGGGUCUCUGGACAGUUCCUGACACUGAGACACGAAGGCCAGGGGAGCAAACGGG